CCUACGGGAGGCAGCAGUGAGGAAUAUUGGUCAAUGGGCGCGAGCCUGAACCAGCCAAGUAGCGUGAAGGAUGACUGCCCUACGGGUUGUAAACUUCUUUUAUAAAGGAAUAAAGUGAGGCACGUGUGCCUUUUUGUAUGUACUUUAUGAAUAAGGAUCGGCUAACUCCGUGCCCGCAGCAGCGGUAAUACGGAGGAUCCGAGCUUUAUCCGGAUUUAUUGGGUUUAAAGGGAGCGUAGAUGGGUUGUUAGGUCCGGUGUGAAAGUUUGCGGCUCAACCGUAAAAUUGAAAUUGAUACUGGCAGCCUUGAGUACAGUUGAGGUAGGCGGAAUUCGUGGUGUAGCGGUGAAAUGCUUAGAGAUCACGAAGAACUCCGAUUGCGAAGGCAGCUUACUAAACUGCCACUGACAUUGAUGCUCGAAAGUGUGGGUAUCAAACAGGAUUAGAUACCCGAGUAGUC
This 460-nucleotide ribosomal RNA is filed under the name uncultured bacterium. RNAcentral's name for it is "partial 16S ribosomal RNA". It matches the Rfam family "Bacterial small subunit ribosomal RNA", at positions 338 to 795 of the family's 1533-position model. The record is from RNAcentral.